GUGGGGAAUAUUGGACAAUGGGCGAAAGCCUGAUCCAGCCAUGCCGCGUGUGUGAAGAAGGUCUUCGGAUUGUAAAGCACUUUAAGUUGGGAGGAAGGGCAGUAAGUUAAUACCUUGCUGUUUUGACGUUACCAACAGAAUAAGCACCGGCUAACUUCGUGCCAGCAGCCGCGGUAAUACGAAGGGAGCAAGCGUUAAUCGGAAUUACUGGGCGUAAAGCGCGCGGAGGUGGUUUUGUAAGUUGGAGGUGAAAUCCCCGGGCUCAACCUGGGAACUGCCUCCAAAACUGCAUGACUAGAGUACGGUAGAGGGUAGUGGAAUUUCCUGUGUAGCGGUGAAAUGCGUAGAUAUAGGAAGGAACACCAGUGGCGAAGGCGACUACCUGGACUGAUACUGACACUGAGGUGCGAAAGCGUGGGGAGCAAACAGGAUUAGAAACCCUAGUAGUCC
This 450-nucleotide ribosomal RNA is filed under the name uncultured bacterium. Its description in RNAcentral is "partial 16S ribosomal RNA". It matches the Rfam family "Bacterial small subunit ribosomal RNA", at positions 354 to 796 of the family's 1533-position model. The record is from RNAcentral.